This 429-nucleotide ribosomal RNA is filed under the name Gemmatimonadota bacterium. RNAcentral's name for it is "Gemmatimonadetes bacterium partial 16S ribosomal RNA". It matches the Rfam family "Bacterial small subunit ribosomal RNA", at positions 355 to 776 of the family's 1533-position model. Lineage: Bacteria; Pseudomonadati; Gemmatimonadota. The record is from RNAcentral.
UAGGGAAUCUUCGGCAAUGGACGAAAGUCUGACCGAGCAACGCCGCGUGAGUGAAGAAGGUUUUCGGAUCGUAAAACUCUGUUGUUAGAGAAGAACAAGGACGUUAGUAACUGAACGUCCCCUGACGGUAUCUAACCAGAAAGCCACGGCUAACUACGUGCCAGCAGCCGCGGUAAUACGUAGGUGGCAAGCGUUGUCCGGAUUUAUUGGGCGUAAAGCGAGCGCAGGCGGUUUCUUAAGUCUGAUGUGAAAGCCCCCGGCUCAACCGGGGAGGGUCAUUGGAAACGGGGAGACUUGAGUGCAGAAGAGGAGAGUGGAAUUCCAUGUGUAGCGGUGAAAUGCGUAGAUAUAUGGGGGAACACCAGUGGCGAAGGCGGCUCUCUGGUCUGUAACUGACGCUGAGGCGCGAAAGCGUGGGGAGCAAACAGG